RNAcentral lists this ribosomal RNA (429 nucleotides) under Bacillota bacterium. RNAcentral's name for it is "bacterial SSU rRNA". It matches the Rfam family "Bacterial small subunit ribosomal RNA", at positions 355 to 776 of the family's 1533-position model. The record is from RNAcentral. Lineage: Bacteria; Bacillati; Bacillota.
UAGGGAAUCUUCGGCAAUGGACGAAAGUCUGACCGAGCAACGCCGCGUGAGUGAAGAAGGUUUUCGGAUCGUAAAACUCUGUUAUUAGGGAAGAACAUAUGUGUAAGUAACUGUGCACAUCUUGACGGUACCUAACCAGAAAGCCACGGCUAACUACGUGCCAGCAGCCGCGGUAAUACGUAGGUGGCAAGCGUUGUCCGGAUUUAUUGGGCGUAAAGGGAGCGUAGGCGGAUGAUUAAGUGGGAUGUGAAAUACCCGGGCUCAACUUGGGUGCUGCAUUCCAAACUGGUUAUCUAGAGUGCAGGAGAGGAGAGUGGAAUUCCUAGUGUAGCGGUGAAAUGCGUAGAUAUAUGGAGGAACACCAGUGGCGAAGGCGGCUCUCUGGUCUGUAACUGACGCUGAGGCUCGAAAGCGUGGGGAGCAAACAGG